Non-coding RNA from Prunus avium (sweet cherry), 1801 nucleotides. Lineage: Eukaryota; Viridiplantae; Streptophyta; Magnoliopsida; Rosales; Rosaceae. The record is from RefSeq and is a predicted model, not a curated record.
CUCGACAAAAAAUUCACUUAAGUUUUCGCUGAAAGGCAACUUUCACCGCACUCUCUCGCAACCUUUAGAAACCCUAUCUCUCUCAACUCCCCUUUCUCAUCGCUGAAACACUCCAUCGCCCCCACGAUCUUCACGAGGACACCUCCACAAUCUUCGAGAUCUCCUUCAUGAGGUCUCUCUCGAGCCCACAGGUUUCUUCGCCUCCACGAUCUCCUUUGCGAUCUCCAUUGAUGCCGCGAAGCCAUCGACUCGGUGACGCCGUGGAUGCCAUCAUCUCCUUCGCAUCAGUCAUCACCUGCCGCCAUCUUCCUCUCAACGGAUCUCUCUCGUCGUCUAUCUCUCGAUGGUACUCUCUGGUCGGCGCUCUCUGUCUUGUUAUCUGUUUCUCUAGCUCGUCCCCAAAGCUUCUCAUGUCUACACUCUCAAGGAUAUGGCUGCUGAGUGCUGUAGGCUAUAGAGGUGAAGCUAGCUGCAGUAAGGGAGGCCUGCAAGACAGGUAAAACUUUAACUUGGUUUCUGAUUAAGUGACUGUGAUAUUGAAUGAGAUAUUGGGUUUGCUCUGUUUGGGGCCUUGCCGAGUUCUAUCACCCUGAGAAGGAGUAUAAUGUUCGUGUUGCUUCAAGGUUGUUUUCAUAUCUUUUACUUCACAAAAGACAAUAAUAUUUAUUCACAUCUCAUACAUUCUUAUCUGAAACUGUGAUAACUUUUUUAAAAUUUUCUGUUGUAGAAACUGUUGCUCUUGCCUAAAACCUUCUUGUAUAUAGAGAAUUGAUUGUGUGGAAAGUUUAAAAUUACAAUUCUAUAUUUGAAUGUAGGAAUGUGGGAAGACACUUGCUGGACAGAACUUCCCUUAUUAAAGCUACAUUGUUUUAGGAAACAAGUCCCCUUCUCCCUCCACGCCCACCCUCUUUUUCUUUAUUUUGAGGACUUUUUCCCCCAAAACUGCAUUCUUUCAAAAAAAAAAUUUCUUUAUUUUGACUUGAGGAGUGAUAUUGGAAUAGACCGGAUGGAAAUUAUGCCACAUUAGUGCAAAAUCAUACUUGCAGUAUUUGGAGUUAUUUGGGAACAUGGGAACCACAGCAAAGCAGAAAAUAGAUGCAGGAUGAAAGGGAUACUUUUAGUUUAUACUAUGAAAUGAUGGUUAUUAGUAACAUAAAUUUUUUGUGUUCAGAUUUGUCUUAUGCUCUUCCCCCGCCCCCCAUUUGAUUUCAGGUAUUCAAAGGUCCUGAGCUUCUUGUUGAUUCACAAGAUUAUGAUUAUUCUUUAGACUUGUGGAGUCUUGGUUGCAUGUUUGCUGGAAUGCAGGGGAUGCUUGAAUAUAUGCAAUAGUUUUUCUAUCCUGAAAUGAGUACUUCAGAUGUGAUGGAUAAAACUUCUCUUAGUGAUGCAUGGACAAUAGAUCUUGAUCUGCUUGCCUAUUUAUCCAUGGGUGGCAGAUGGCGAGAGUCAAAAUUUGAUACCAUGUCAAAGUAUGUGAUGCUCUCUUGUGAUGCUUAGCCUUGUGCUGUACAGAUAUUUUGUAAGGAGCCAUUUUUCUAUGGACACGAUAACUAUGAUUGGCUAGUCAAAAUAGCAAAGUGCAAGAAGGCAGCGCUAACUCAUACACACAAGAACAAAUUGAUGAAAUUCGGAUCGAAUGGGCAGCAUGUAUGAGCAAUCACAUGUAGCUCUUCUAUUUCUAAUUAUAGUUUAAUGCUAUGGAUAUGUUAUUUUGUAUGGAUAUGGUAGGAAUCAAGAUUGAUAAACUAUGUAAUUACUAUUGAAUCUUUAAGUUUUAUGAAAGAAACAAUUUUUGAGUAUA